UAGUUCAGACCGUAAACGAUGCCAUCUGGCGAUCCGCCGGCGUUAUGUUUGACCCGGCGGGCAGCCACCGGUAAACCUUUAAGUUGGGUUCCGGGGGAAGUAUGGUUGCAAAGCUGAAACUUAAAGGAAUUGACGGAAGGGCACCACCAGGAGUGGAGCCUGCGGCUUAAUUUGACUCAACACGGGGAAACUCACCCGGCCCGGACACCGUAAGGAUUGACAGAUUGAGAGCUCUUUCUUGAUUCGGUGGGUGGUGGUGCAUGGCCGUUCUUAGUUGGUGGAGCGAUUUGUCUGGUUUAUUCCGAUAACGAACGAGACUCUAGCCUACUAAAUAGACACUGCUUCUUUGGAGCGGUGAACUUCUUAGAGGGACAAGCGACGUUUAGUCGCACGAGAUUGAGCAAUAACAGGUCUGUGAUGCCCUUAGAUGUCCGGGGCUGCACGCGCGCUACACUGAAGGCAUCAUCAUGUUUCUUUUCCUACCCCGGAAGGGGCGGGUAACCCGAUGAAACGCCUUCGUGAUUGGGAUAGGGACUUGCAAUUAUUUCCCUUGAACGAGGAAUUCCUAGUAAGUGCGAGUCAUCAGCUCGCGCUGAUUACGUCCCUGCCCUUUGUACACACCGCCCGUCGCUACUACCGAUUGAGUGACUCCUAAAGGAGUUGGGACUGGCCCUGUGCGGCCGCAAGGUUGCGCAGGCUGCUGGAAACUUCUCCAAUGGGAUUUACUUAGAGGAAGUAAAAGUCGUAACAAGGUUUCCGUAGGUGAACCUGCGGAAGGAUCAUUACCUAUCGACACACGUCGAUUCUUGGGCUGAGUCCGGCCCACUUAUGGAGAACCUCGCCCUGCGAGGGUCUCUGCCGGACGAGGCUAACGGGACCGCUCUCGUGGAAGAGCGGUAACCGAAACGUGUUCUUCACACCCGCAAGCAUCGCCCGCUAGCCCGACUCUACCUUGCUAGCAUGACUCCGCGAUGUUCACUUGCAUGACUGGUGGAGAGUUCGUGGAGGUUGCCGCUACCCGGCCCUUCGAGUGGAUGUGACCCACUCAUGUUUCUAAGGGUUGGACUUUCGCAUUGCGGUCUCUCCAAUGGGUGCCAUCGUGGGUACCUGUACUACUGUGUGGUCCUCGCGGUCCACCCCUACCGCGCCAACUCGGGACUCAGUAGUGAACCACCAGCUCUGGUCUGCCUUGUGGCGACGUAGCAUGACUCUAGUAGACACCCCUUGCAAGCUGCCCGCCUCAUGACUCUGGGUUGAGCCUCUCCGCGAGGCUGUAGCCCCCGAGGCCCGACUCUGCGCUUGCGAGGAAGGACUGCGCCCCGCUACGCCGGCAUGACUCUGGCGGACUAGAGAGAGGGACUGCCCGUCUCUUGCCUUAUGACUCUAGGACACUAUGUGUCUAGCAAUUGCCCGCCGGCCCGACUCUACUCGGGUUGCCCUUAGAAUCCGUUAGGCGCCCGCAAGCAUCGCCCGCUAGCCCGACUCUACCUUGCUAGCAUGACUCCGCGAUGUUCACUUGCAUGACUGGCCUAGUGGUUUCAAAGGGGUAACUCGUUUAGCCGGCAUGUUUCGCUUGCUAGACAUUUGUAUCCGCCCCAAGGCAAGUGGCAUGACUCUUUGCGUUCUUCUCUCUGGCCUGCCGCCCGUCGGUUCAGUGCGCCACAAGGUUCAGUGGCUGGUGGAAGGUUCAAUGAACUGCCCGUCGGAAGGUUUACCUUCCGGUACCCGUAAGCUAGUGUGACCACACUAGUGGAAGCGGCUUUUUCGAGACCUGUCCUCGUGGCUGGGUCGCUCGGCCGCAAGUAGCAGAAGGUUCUCGGCCCCGUUACGCUCUUGCCGUUUCUCUUGACGAAGCCGCCCGCAAGCACCGCCCGCUAGCACGACUCUUCCCUGCUAGCAUGACUCCGCGGUGUAAACUUGCAUGUUUCUGGCCUAGUCGAGUCCCUUAGAGCGCAGCAUGACUCUACGAGAACUGGAAGUUGCUUGCGGCCCGUUAUGGGCAGUCCAGUUUACCACGCCGACUCUACGCAGGUCUCGCUGACUGUAUAGCCGUGAGGGUAGUCACACCGCGCAGCCUAGCUGCCGGGGCGGUCGCCCACACUCCAUUUUAACUACUUCAAUACUACUGCUCGC
This 2133-nucleotide ribosomal RNA is filed under the name Paratrichodorus minor. Its description in RNAcentral is "bacterial SSU rRNA". The stretch from base 1 to 785 matches the Rfam family "Eukaryotic small subunit ribosomal RNA", at positions 1021 to 1831 of the family's 1831-position model. Lineage: Eukaryota; Metazoa; Nematoda; Enoplea; Triplonchida; Trichodoridae. The record is from RNAcentral.